CGCUGUUGAACGGCUCAGAAAACGCACGACUUGUAGUGGUGUCACUGGUGCGCAACUAAAUUGUGCUGAUCUUGUUUCUGUGCAGCUUCUCGGGGAUCACCCGAAAACCAGACGCAGCUCUUCAGAGAUCCUCCAGCAAACGGUGCCCAGUCGCCCCUUAAGCCUCUGCUUCCAGUCCCCGACCCCGAACGUCUUCUGCCUUCGGAUUUGGACGGAUCCUCUUCCGUCGAAAGAAAAUUGCCCAAGCCUCGUAGGGAUGUUUCAGCCGCUGGAGGCGAUGCUCCCUCGCGUGACUUUAAGCUUCCCGUGGAAGAGAAAAUGGAAGAAACCACCGGAACGGGUGACUUGGCAGGCGGGUCGCAGUGGGGGAUGGAGCCUCGGUCUUCAGCUGUUGGGGACCGCAAGAGAGACGGCCGCAUCUUUCACAGCAACUGUAGUGAGAACGAUCUGCCUUCCAAACCGGGGAUUCUGUCUUCAGAUCUUGCCGCAGAGCCCAGCAAGCUCAGCUCAGGUGAUGCUGGAGAGACCCCCAGUAUGUAUUCCGGGUCAUCGGAAAGAUUACGUAUGAGCACGAGCGACAGCGACCCCAUUUUGAUGAGUGAAAACAGCUCAGCCGGCCAUUCCAUCCCGAGCAUCACACGGGCGAGCGUUGCUGUUGGCGCUACUCUUCCACCCGAGGUUGGCACUGAUGAAGAAGACACGUCCUUCAGGAGUCACCACCUGCUCAUGGAGAAGAAUCCAAGUAUGGAUCUCAUGGAGGUUCCUAAGGACGGGGCCUUUUUGCGACGUUCCCCGAGGGCUUUCCCAGAUUCAACAUCUGACGGUCAACCAUUGAACGAAGCCAAGGACCCCCAGGCGGGCCCUCCUCUCCCAAAGAAGAAAGUUGAGCCUGAUGAAGCGGCCGCUUCAAGUGACUUUCGGAUGGUUGUGGUGGCAUUGGCUCUGGCGGUUCUGGCAAGUGCUGCUUUUGUGCUGUAUAAGAAGAAAUAAGCACCGGAGUGACCGAUCGGUUGCUGACCGAACUGAAAUUCACACCCAGCCACCGUCUCUUCCUACCGUUGCUUGAUCCUCUACGGAAAGGAAGCACAAGGGAACUUGCUUUCUUUAGAUCGCUUUCCGCCACCGAUGCGUGAUACUCCCGCAAGCGUUGAACUCUUAUCCUCACAACAUGCCUUGCUGAUUUUCUCUGGUCUGCCUUUGGGUCACUAAUGACGUCUUUGGAUGCAGGUUUAUUUUAGAUCGGUCAGUUCAGUGGCCUAUUCCCCCCCCUCCAAAUAGCCAAGCAGAUCAGAUCUAGGACUUUUCUCAGAAAUUACAGGAAAACAAAAAUCUGGACAUCAAAGCAAAAUCCUGACCGAUCGCUUCCACAUAGUUGGCGAGGGAAUUGCAGGAUCUCGGCGGAGUUUCUUUUUCUAGAAAAAGGUCAUAUCGCAAAGAAUACACCGGCUGACGUGGAGGAGUGACCGGCUUCCUGAUUUCAGUGGGUAGGUCUCUUUGAGGUGGCUUAGAAAAGAAAAAUUUAGCAAGCAACAUCUUCACUAUGUCCUGAAUACGACGUUCUUUGGGUACGCAAUAUGUUGUUGCUGUAUCCUUAGAAACGAGCAUCCGGUUCUUCAGCUCGGUUUUUUUCUGGAAUUAACAUCCGCUUAGGGGAUUUAGGGGAAAGCAGUGGACUUCACUGAACUGUUUGGGAAUCCUUGUUCUUCCUUUUCUGUUUCUUGGAAAGGAGAAGCAUUAGAAGUUUGUUCUACGAUUAUUACAGGAACACCCUGUAACUCGGAUGGCUGCUUGCUGGAAUUAUAUCCAUUGAUGCCAGUGGAAACGGGAAAUUCUUCAUUCUGUUUUUUGCGGAUGUUAUUUUUUUCUUCUGCAGAAGAGGUUAAGGUGUCAUCUUUGGAAAGUUGUUUGUUCCCGGCCAUUAAAUGACACCUAGUCCUCGAUUUAAGGACUGUAAUGAAAGAUGAUAGAUUGAGAUUAGUUUGCUUGCAGCGUUCCUGUGGUCGAACGGUCAUAAGCAGGGGUGGGCUUCAAAUAAUUUAACAAUCGGUUCUUUAACUGGUUGCUGAGCGGGCAUGGCCUAGUCCACCUCCUGCACCACCCUGGGAGCAAAAAUGAGCCACGGGGGAAAGGCCAUUUUCGCUCUCCCCGGGCUCUGGAGGCCAGAAACGGGCUCGUUUCCGGCCUUCCGGAACUUUCGGGAGGCCUGUUUUUCGCCCUCCCCGGGUUCCAAAGGUUUUCCUCGCGCUUCCAGGAGGGCGUAAAUGGCCUCCCCAGGCUCUGGAGGCUCUCUGGGCCCUUCUGGAACUUCCAAGAAGCCUGUUUUUCACCCUCCCCGAGCCUCUGCAUGGGCCCUGCAUUUACUUGCGAUCCAAAACAGACCAAGGCAGGGGAGGAGCAGGGUGUGGUGGGUGGGUGGGGCCAGCCAGGGGUGGGGUUUGCUGAACUGGCCAUAAAAUUAACAACCGGUUCACCUGAACCGGUGUGAACCGGUAGCAGCCCACCCCCCUGGUCAUAAGGCGAGGACUACCUGGUACCCAAGGUGACCAGAUUCCACCCUGCUGAGAAUUUGGGAAGACAUGAAGGCUUCGUUGCUUGCCUUUGCUUAAUGAGCAAGUUUUCCUAAAAACGAGAAGCAGGAAAUUCUGGGGACUGAAAGGCACAGAUUGCUAAGUGUAAGAAACACGGAUUCAGUGUGUUAUGUGUACCCAUAUAUGCACUGUCUCCCCAGGAGCUCAUCCGGGUGUGUCCAUUCACACGACUUGUGUAUAUGUGUUGAUUCAAACUGAUCAUGGUUCCUUUUUUUUUUUUUAAAGUAGCGUUUUCUUUCUACUUCUGACAGACAGUCAGCCCAAGUUCUACUUUUCUUACAUUUAUUUCUUUCCAACGUUCUGUAGCGUUGGGAAAAUUAAAGCACCGAAACUUCCGAAUCGAAUAGCUUUCUUUCCGGUCAUUAACCAGAAGAAAGAACGAAGGGGAAGCGGGGGGGGGGGGGGGGGAUAGUUUUAAACUAUCCAGGACAUUCAAAAAUAAAUGAGGAGUGAUGCAUAGAAAAUAUGCUUAA
Long non-coding RNA from Notechis scutatus (mainland tiger snake), 3061 nucleotides. Lineage: Eukaryota; Metazoa; Chordata; Lepidosauria; Squamata; Elapidae. The record is from Ensembl.